AUGGGGUCCAGGCCGGCUAAUCCUGUGCCCAACCCUGAUGAGAGUUCAUUAUCUCAUAUCAAGAGCCAAGAUAUGUUAGCUGACAAGGUUGUGGACCAAUGGGAUGACAGUGACACUGAAAACUCCUCUGGAAAUGCAUCAUAUCAAAUUGUUCCUUACAAGAAUGUCCAGGGAGAAAACAACUUACCUGUGCUGUCUAAAAAAAGAAAAUUCAUUAUCAGUACAUAUUCUGUGCAAUGUAGUACUUGCCAGAAAUGGAGAGUUGUACCAUCCAAACUGAAAUAUGAGCAAAUCCGAGAGAAUAUUAUACAAGUUCCUUUUUCUUGCAAAUAUGUCCAUGGGUGGAAGCCACAAGUUACAUGCCAUGAUCCAACUGAUAUAUCUGAGGAUAAUGGCAUGGCAUGGGAAAUUGCUAUCCCAUGCAUCCCUCAGACCCCUCUUGGGUACUAUAUCUCUCCCGCAGGCAUAAAAAUAAGAUCCAAGAAAGAGGUCGAAAGGUAUCUUGAAGACAACCCAGACUAUGCUGCCGAUUUACAUUUAUCUCAGUUUUCGUUCAAGGUACCUAAACCUCCAAAUUGCCCUCGUCAGUCAGAGCUUAUUGAACCAACUGAAGUGCCACCUCCGGUUCACGAGGAUCCCGUGCACAACUACAUGCCGGUCCCUCAUGGAGAAGCCAAUCCUGUAACUCACAUACCAGUGACACUAGCUCUACAAGUAUCAGUGAUGCUCUCCAAAAAGAGAAAACUAAACCAGUGA
Molecule: ribosomal RNA, 756 nt
Filed under: Triticum aestivum (bread wheat)
Lineage: Eukaryota; Viridiplantae; Streptophyta; Magnoliopsida; Poales; Poaceae
Description: partial small subunit ribosomal RNA
Source: RNAcentral